Molecule: ribosomal RNA, 2923 nt
Filed under: Escherichia coli
Lineage: Bacteria; Pseudomonadati; Pseudomonadota; Gammaproteobacteria; Enterobacterales; Enterobacteriaceae
Description: 23S ribosomal RNA
Rfam family: Bacterial large subunit ribosomal RNA
Source: RNAcentral
GGGUUGUGAGGUUAAGCGACUAAGCGUACACGGUGGAUGCCCUGGCAGUCAGAGGCGAUGAAGGACGUGCUAAUCUGCGAUAAGCGUCGGUAAGGUGAUAUGAACCGUUAUAACCGGCGAUUUCCGAAUGGGGAAACCCAGUGUGUUUCGACACACUAUCAUUAACUGAAUCCAUAGGUUAAUGAGGCGAACCGGGGGAACUGAAACAUCUAAGUACCCCGAGGAAAAGAAAUCAACCGAGAUUCCCCCAGUAGCGGCGAGCGAACGGGGAGCAGCCCAGAGCCUGAAUCAGUGUGUGUGUUAGUGGAAGCGUCUGGAAAGGCGCGCGAUACAGGGUGACAGCCCCGUACACAAAAAUGCACAUGCUGUGAGCUCGAUGAGUAGGGCGGGACACGUGGUAUCCUGUCUGAAUAUGGGGGGACCAUCCUCCAAGGCUAAAUACUCCUGACUGACCGAUAGUGAACCAGUACCGUGAGGGAAAGGCGAAAAGAACCCCGGCGAGGGGAGUGAAAAAGAACCUGAAACCGUGUACGUACAAGCAGUGGGAGCCUCUUUAUGGGGUGACUGCGUACCUUUUGUAUAAUGGGUCAGCGACUUAUAUUCUGUAGCAAGGUUAACCGAAUAGGGGAGCCGAAGGGAAACCGAGUCUUAACUGGGCGUUAAGUUGCAGGGUAUAGACCCGAAACCCGGUGAUCUAGCCAUGGGCAGGUUGAAGGUUGGGUAACACUAACUGGAGGACCGAACCGACUAAUGUUGAAAAAUUAGCGGAUGACUUGUGGCUGGGGGUGAAAGGCCAAUCAAACCGGGAGAUAGCUGGUUCUCCCCGAAAGCUAUUUAGGUAGCGCCUCGUGAAUUCAUCUCCGGGGGUAGAGCACUGUUUCGGCAAGGGGGUCAUCCCGACUUACCAACCCGAUGCAAACUGCGAAUACCGGAGAAUGUUAUCACGGGAGACACACGGCGGGUGCUAACGUCCGUCGUGAAGAGGGAAACAACCCAGACCGCCAGCUAAGGUCCCAAAGUCAUGGUUAAGUGGGAAACGAUGUGGGAAGGCCCAGACAGCCAGGAUGUUGGCUUAGAAGCAGCCAUCAUUUAAAGAAAGCGUAAUAGCUCACUGGUCGAGUCGGCCUGCGCGGAAGAUGUAACGGGGCUAAACCAUGCACCGAAGCUGCGGCAGCGACACUAUGUGUUGUUGGGUAGGGGAGCGUUCUGUAAGCCUGUGAAGGUGUACUGUGAGGUAUGCUGGAGGUAUCAGAAGUGCGAAUGCUGACAUAAGUAACGAUAAAGCGGGUGAAAAGCCCGCUCGCCGGAAGACCAAGGGUUCCUGUCCAACGUUAAUCGGGGCAGGGUGAGUCGACCCCUAAGGCGAGGCCGAAAGGCGUAGUCGAUGGGAAACAGGUUAAUAUUCCUGUACUUGGUGUUACUGCGAAGGGGGGACGGAGAAGGCUAUGUUGGCCGGGCGACGGUUGUCCCGGUUUAAGCGUGUAGGCUGGUUUUCCAGGCAAAUCCGGAAAAUCAAGGCUGAGGCGUGAUGACGAGGCACUACGGUGCUGAAGCAACAAAUGCCCUGCUUCCAGGAAAAGCCUCUAAGCAUCAGGUAACAUCAAAUCGUACCCCAAACCGACACAGGUGGUCAGGUAGAGAAUACCAAGGCGCUUGAGAGAACUCGGGUGAAGGAACUAGGCAAAAUGGUGCCGUAACUUCGGGAGAAGGCACGCUGAUAUGUAGGUGAAGCGACUUGCUCGUGGAGCUGAAAUCAGUCGAAGAUACCAGCUGGCUGCAACUGUUUAUUAAAAACACAGCACUGUGCAAACACGAAAGUGGACGUAUACGGUGUGACGCCUGCCCGGUGCCGGAAGGUUAAUUGAUGGGGUCAGCGCAAGCGAAGCUCUUGAUCGAAGCCCCGGUAAACGGCGGCCGUAACUAUAACGGUCCUAAGGUAGCGAAAUUCCUUGUCGGGUAAGUUCCGACCUGCACGAAUGGCGUAAUGAUGGCCAGGCUGUCUCCACCCGAGACUCAGUGAAAUUGAACUCGCUGUGAAGAUGCAGUGUACCCGCGGCAAGACGGAAAGACCCCGUGAACCUUUACUAUAGCUUGACACUGAACAUUGAGCCUUGAUGUGUAGGAUAGGUGGGAGGCUUUGAAGUGUGGACGCCAGUCUGCAUGGAGCCGACCUUGAAAUACCACCCUUUAAUGUUUGAUGUUCUAACGUAGACCCGUGAUCCGGGUUGCGGACAGUGUCUGGUGGGUAGUUUGACUGGGGCGGUCUCCUCCUAAAGAGUAACGGAGGAGCACGAAGGUUGGCUAAUCCUGGUCGGACAUCAGGAGGUUAGUGCAAUGGCAUAAGCCAGCUUGACUGCGAGCGUGACGGCGCGAGCAGGUGCGAAAGCAGGUCAUAGUGAUCCGGUGGUUCUGAAUGGAAGGGCCAUCGCUCAACGGAUAAAAGGUACUCCGGGGAUAACAGGCUGAUACCGCCCAAGAGUUCAUAUCGACGGCGGUGUUUGGCACCUCGAUGUCGGCUCAUCACAUCCUGGGGCUGAAGUAGGUCCCAAGGGUAUGGCUGUUCGCCAUUUAAAGUGGUACGCGAGCUGGGUUUAGAACGUCGUGAGACAGUUCGGUCCCUAUCUGCCGUGGGCGCUGGAGAACUGAGGGGGGCUGCUCCUAGUACGAGAGGACCGGAGUGGACGCAUCACUGGUGUUCGGGUUGUCAUGCCAAUGGCACUGCCCGGUAGCUAAAUGCGGAAGAGAUAAGUGCUGAAAGCAUCUAAGCACGAAACUUGCCCCGAGAUGAGUUCUCCCUGACUCCUUGAGAGUCCUGAAGGAACGUUGAAGACGACGACGUUGAUAGGCCGGGUGUGUAAGCGCAGCGAUGCGUUGAGCUAACCGGUACUAAUGAACCGUGAGGCUUAACCUUACAACGCCGAAG